CCUACGGGAGGCAGCCGUGAGGAAUAUUGGUCAAUGGACGAGAGUCUGAACCAGCCAAGUAGCGUGAAGGAUGACUGCACUAUGGGUUGUAAACUUCUUUUAUAUGGGAAUAAAAUGUUCCACGUGUGGGCUUUUGUAUGUACCAUAUGAAUAAGGAUCGGCUAACUCCGUGCCAGCAGCCGCGGUAAUACGGAGGAUCCGAGCGUUGUCCGGAUUUAUUGGGUUUAAAGGGAGCGUAGGGGGAUUGUUAAGUCAGUUGUGAAAGUUUGCGGCUCAACCGUAAAAUUGCAGUUGAAACUGGCAGUCUUGAGUACAGUAGAGGUGGGCGGAAUGCGUGGUGUAGCGGUGAAAUGCUUAGAUAUCACGAAGAACUCCGAUUGCGAAGGCAGCUCACUGGACUGCAACUGACACUGAGGCUCGAAAGUGUGGGUAUCAAACAGGAUUAGAUACCCGAGUAGUC
Molecule: ribosomal RNA, 460 nt
Filed under: uncultured bacterium
Lineage: Bacteria
Description: partial 16S ribosomal RNA
Rfam family: Bacterial small subunit ribosomal RNA
Source: RNAcentral